RNAcentral lists this ribosomal RNA (784 nucleotides) under Bacillus sp. KTR6. Its description in RNAcentral is "bacterial SSU rRNA". It matches the Rfam family "Bacterial small subunit ribosomal RNA", at positions 30 to 794 of the family's 1533-position model. Lineage: Bacteria; Bacillati; Bacillota; Bacilli; Caryophanales; Bacillaceae. The record is from RNAcentral.
CUGCGACGCUGGCGGCGUGCCUAUACAUGCAAGUCGAGCGGACAGAUGGGAGCUUGCUCCCUGAUGUUAGCGGCGGACGGGUGAGUAACACGUGGGUAACCUGCCUGUAAGACUGGGAUAACUCCGGGAAACCGGGGCUAAUACCGGAUGGUUGUUUGAACCGCAUGGUUCAAACAUAAAAGGUGGCUUCGGCUACCACUUACAGAUGGACCCGCGGCGCAUUAGCUAGUUGGUGAGGUAACGGCUCACCAAGGCAACGAUGCGUAGCCGACCUGAGAGGGUGAUCGGCCACACUGGGACUGAGACACGGCCCAGACUCCUACGGGAGGCAGCAGUAGGGAAUCUUCCGCAAUGGACGAAAGUCUGACGGAGCAACGCCGCGUGAGUGAUGAAGGUUUUCGGAUCGUAAAGCUCUGUUGUUAGGGAAGAACAAGUACCGUUCGAAUAGGGCGGUACCUUGACGGUACCUAACCAGAAAGCCACGGCUAACUACGUGCCAGCAGCCGCGGUAAUACGUAGGUGGCAAGCGUUGUCCGGAAUUAUUGGGCGUAAAGGGCUCGCAGGCGGUUUCUUAAGUCUGAUGUGAAAGCCCCCGGCUCAACCGGGGAGGGUCAUUGGAAACUGGGGAACUUGAGUGCAGAAGAGGAGAGUGGAAUUCCACGUGUAGCGGUGAAAUGCGUAGAGAUGUGGAGGAACACCAGUGGCGAAUGCGACUCUCUGGUCUGUAACUGACGCUGAGGAGCGAAAGCGUGGAGGAGCGAUCAGGAUUAGAUACCCUGGUAGU